This 229-nucleotide ribosomal RNA is filed under the name uncultured bacterium. RNAcentral describes it as "partial 16S ribosomal RNA". It matches the Rfam family "Bacterial small subunit ribosomal RNA", at positions 118 to 347 of the family's 1533-position model. The record is from RNAcentral.
UGAGCAAUCUGCCCUUCUCAUCGGAAUAAGCGUUGGAAACGACGUCUAAUACUGGAUAUGAACAGCGACCGCAUGGUCAGUUGUUGGAAAGAUUUUUCGGUCAGGGAUGAGCUCGCGGCCUAUCAGCUUGUUGGUGAGGUAAUGGCUCACCAAGGCGUCGACGGGUAGCCGGCCUGAGAGGGUGACCCGGCCACACUGGGACUGAGACACGGCCCAGACCUGUACGGGA